UGGGGAAUAUUGGACAAUGGGCGCAAGCCUGAUCCAGCCAUGCCGCGUGAGUGAUGAAGGCCUUCGGGUUGUAAAGCUCUUUCACCCACGACGAUGAUGACGGUAGUGGGAGAAGAAGCCCCGGCUAACUUCGUGCCAGCAGCCGCGGUAAUACGAAGGGGGCAAGCGUUGUUCGGAAUGACUGGGCGUAAAGGGCGCGUAGGCGGUUCGUUGCGUCAGAUGUGAAAGCCCCGGGCUCAACCUGGGAACUGCAUUUGAUACGGGCGGGCUUGAAUCCAAGAGAGGGUGGUGGAAUUCCCAGUGUAGAGGUGAAAUUCGUAGAUAUUGGGAAGAACACCAGUGGCGAAGGCGGCCACCUGGCUUGGUAUUGACGCUGAGGCGCGAAAGCGUGGGGAGCAAACA
This 402-nucleotide ribosomal RNA is filed under the name uncultured Inquilinus sp. RNAcentral describes it as "bacterial SSU rRNA". It matches the Rfam family "Bacterial small subunit ribosomal RNA", at positions 355 to 774 of the family's 1533-position model. Lineage: Bacteria; Pseudomonadati; Pseudomonadota; Alphaproteobacteria; Rhodospirillales; Rhodospirillaceae. The record is from RNAcentral.